AUGUCCGUGAGGUCUGAACAAAUGCAACAAAUUUGUAUGUACAGUAUGCAAAAUCAUAUGAUUGCUGAAAAUGGACCAUCAUAUAUACCUGUAAGAGGUUGGGGAAGGCACGGUCAGCGUUGGUGUUCUGGUGCAGAUCGCCGGGGCCAGAAGAGAGGAGAGGUCGUCAUGUCGAGCUCGCGGGGAGAGGCGGCCGAUGACUUUCGCACCGGGAAGGGAGGUCGGGGAUGGGCGGUGGCCUCCUGUACCACCUCAGCAGCUCAGCUCCAUCUCAUCCACAUUGGAUGGCACCGGACAGGGAGGUGGCCGUGA
This 312-nucleotide ribosomal RNA is filed under the name Triticum aestivum (bread wheat). Its description in RNAcentral is "partial small subunit ribosomal RNA". Lineage: Eukaryota; Viridiplantae; Streptophyta; Magnoliopsida; Poales; Poaceae. The record is from RNAcentral.